Long non-coding RNA from Erinaceus europaeus (western European hedgehog), 547 nucleotides. RefSeq lists it as uncharacterized. Lineage: Eukaryota; Metazoa; Chordata; Mammalia; Eulipotyphla; Erinaceidae. The transcript is spliced from 3 exons. The record is from RefSeq and is a predicted model, not a curated record.
UGCUUGCUGCCAGAAUGAAAUGGUGGACUAGUUUCCUGGCUGCAUAUUUCUCCUGGAGUGGUCAACAGCGACGCUCAGAGAUGUGGCCCCAUAGACUGAACCAGGGACCUCAGUCAUGCCCGACACUGCGUUCUACCUCUGGGAUAGCUUCCUGUCCUUGAACAUUUUUAACAGCUAUUAGAGAAAGAAUUGUUGACCUAGGAAGAUAGAUGAGAAGAUUUUUCCAGAUAUGAAAAUAACACUUGAGAAGUAAGAUACUCCAGUUUCUGGUACAGUGCUCUUUUUGUCACAUAAACAAAUCUUAAACAAUCUAAUUACUGAUGUUGUUCAUUACAGUGGUUUAUACCCUCCAACCAUAGCUGAACAUAUUUAUUGAUAUUACAGUAUAAAGAAAUGUAUCACCAGAAAACAUUUUUAAAUGCUGAAUACAUUCCCACAAGUAAAAAUGGGAAAAUGUAAAAAGCAUAUACAAUUAAUAGGUAAUUUUAUUUCGUUUAGAAAUUAUCUCAUAAGUAUAUUGUGAUGAGAAUUUACCUGAGAAAAUGGU